GCUUAGAGAGGGGUCAAUGUCCUAUCAGCUAGUUGGUAGGGUAAUGGCCUACCAAGGCUAAGACGGGUAGCCGGCCUGAGAGGGUGGUCGGCCACACUGGGACUGAGACACUGCCCAGACUCCUACGGGAGGCUGCAGUCGAGAAUCUUUCGCAAUGCCCGAAAGGGUGACGAAGCGACGCCGCGUGUGGGAAGAAGGCCUUCGGGUUGUAAACCACCGUCGGGAGUUAAGAAAUGUAAGGGUGUUAAUAGCAUCCUUACUUGACUAAGGCUCCGGAGGAAGCCACGGCUAACUCUGUGCCAGCAGCCGCGGUAAUACGGAGGCGGCAAGCGUUGUUCGGAAUUAUUGGGCGUAAAGAGCACGUAGGCGGCCUUGUAAGUCAGUUGUGAAAGCCUUCUGCUUAACGGAAGAACAGCAUCUGAUACUGCAAGGCUAGAGUACGGAAGGG
RNAcentral lists this ribosomal RNA (448 nucleotides) under uncultured Planctomycetota bacterium. Its description in RNAcentral is "bacterial SSU rRNA". It matches the Rfam family "Bacterial small subunit ribosomal RNA", at positions 217 to 656 of the family's 1533-position model. The record is from RNAcentral. Lineage: Bacteria; Pseudomonadati; Planctomycetota.